Molecule: ribosomal RNA, 570 nt
Filed under: Kuettlingeria ceracea
Lineage: Eukaryota; Fungi; Ascomycota; Lecanoromycetes; Teloschistales; Teloschistaceae
Description: eukaryotic LSU rRNA
Rfam family: 5.8S ribosomal RNA (bases 241-394)
Source: RNAcentral
AAGUCGUAACAAGGUUUCCGUAGGUGAACCUGCGGAAGGAUCAUUACCGAGAGGGGGGCUCACGCGCCCCAGGGGUUCUGCCCCGCAUCUUUCCACCCUAUGUGUAUCUUCCACUGUUGCUUUGGCGGGCCCCGGGGCUCAUUUCCCGGCGCUGCCCCUGCAAGGGGCUCGCGAGCGCCCGCCGAAGGCCUAUCAUCAAUCUGUUUUAUCAUGCAGUCUGAGUAUACGAAAAUCAAUUAAAACUUUCAACAACGGAUCUCUUGGUUCUGGCAUCGAUGAAGAACGCAGCGAAAUGCGAUAAGUAAUGUGAAUUGCAGAAUUCAGUGAAUCAUCGAAUCUUUGAACGCACAUUGCGCCCUCUGGUAUUCCGGGGGGCAUGCCUGUUCGAGCGUCAUUACACCCCUCAAGCACUGCUUGGUAUUGGGUGCUCGCCAUCCCUCUAGGGUGGCGCGCCCGAAAUUCAGUGGCGGUCUCGGUAGACUUCAAGCGUAGUAAAUAUUCCGCUUUGGAAGCCUCUGCCGGCGGUUCAGCCAGUAAAAUCUUCUUGUCCAACACAUUGACCUCGGAUCA